GAUGAAGAACGUAGUAAAAUGCGAUAAGUAAUGUGAAUUGCAGAAUUCAGUGAAUCAUCGAAUCUUUGAACGCACAUUGCGCCCGCUGGUAUUCCGGCGGGCAUGCCUGUUCGAGCGUCAUUUCAACCCUCAAGCCCCCGGGUUUGGUGUUGGGGAUCGGCUCUGCCCUUCUGGGCGGUGCCGCCCCCGAAAUACAUUGGCGGUCUCGCUGCAGCCUCCAUUGCGUAGUAGCUAACACCUCGCAACUGGAACGCGGCGCGGCCAUGCCGUAAAACCCCAACUUCUGAAUGUUGACCUCGGAUCAGGUAGGAAUACCCGCUGAACUUAAGCAUAUCAAUAAGCGGAAGA
Molecule: unclassified non-coding RNA, 348 nt
Filed under: soil metagenome
Description: partial contains 5.8S ribosomal RNA, internal transcribed spacer 2, and large subunit ribosomal RNA
Rfam family: 5.8S ribosomal RNA (bases 1-120)
Source: RNAcentral